GGCUUUGUGCAGUGGCAGUGUCGUAGCCACUAUGGUUUAUCUGAGGCAUGAAUAUUGCCAGUUGAAAACUUUUACCAAUAUCCAUCAGGAUGACUUGUAAUAUAGUUGGCAUUGGCAAUUUUUGACAGUCUCUACAGAGA
Molecule: small nuclear RNA, 140 nt
Filed under: Carlito syrichta (Philippine tarsier)
Lineage: Eukaryota; Metazoa; Chordata; Mammalia; Primates; Tarsiidae
Description: U4 spliceosomal RNA (ENSTSYG00000021319.2)
Rfam family: U4 spliceosomal RNA
About the family: U4 small nuclear RNA (U4 snRNA) is a component of the major U2-dependent spliceosome. The structure of U4 snRNA from yeast and human has been reported.
Source: Rfam by way of RNAcentral